RNAcentral lists this ribosomal RNA (253 nucleotides) under uncultured bacterium. RNAcentral's name for it is "partial 16S ribosomal RNA". It matches the Rfam family "Bacterial small subunit ribosomal RNA", at positions 524 to 776 of the family's 1533-position model. The record is from RNAcentral.
UACGAAGGGGGCUAGCGUUGCUCGGAAUUACUGGGCGUAAAGCGUGCGCAGGCGGUCCGCUAAGACAGAUGUGAAAUCCCCGGGCUUAACCUGGGAACUGCAUUUGUGACUGGCGGGCUAGAGUAUGGCAGAGGGGGGUAGAAUUCCACGUGUAGCAGUGAAAUGCGUAGAGAUGUGGAGGAAUACCGAUGGCGAAGGCAGCCCCCUGGGCCAAUACUGACGCUCAUGCACGAAAGCGUGGGGAGCAAACAGG